This 475-nucleotide ribosomal RNA is filed under the name uncultured bacterium. RNAcentral describes it as "SSU rRNA". It matches the Rfam family "Bacterial small subunit ribosomal RNA", at positions 26 to 518 of the family's 1533-position model. The record is from RNAcentral.
AGGACGAACGCUGGCGGCGUGCUUAACACAUGCAAGUCGAGCGGAAAGGCCCUUCGGGGUACUCGAGCGGCGAACGGGUGAGUAACACGUGAGCAACCUGCCCUUAGCUUCGGGAUAGCUCCGGGAAACCGGAAUUAAUACCGAAUAUGACUUUGGCUGACAUCAGCAGAAGUGGAAAGUUUUUCGGCUAGGGAUGGACUCGCGGCCUAUCAGCUAGUUGGUGAGGUAACGGCCCACCAAGGCGACGACGGGUAGCCGGCCUGAGAGGGCGACCGGCCACACUGGGACUGAGACACGGCCCCAGACUCCUACGGGAGGCAGCAGUGGGGAAUAUUGCGCAAUGGGCGAAAGCCUGACGCAGCGACGCCGCGUGGGGGAUGAAUGCCUUCGGGUUGUAAACCCCUUUCAGCAGGGACGAAGCGAAAGUGACGGUACCUGCAGAAGAAGCGCCGGCUAACUACGUGCCAGCAGCCGC